This 593-nucleotide ribosomal RNA is filed under the name Pleurolobus gangeticus (sal-leaved desmodium). RNAcentral's name for it is "eukaryotic LSU rRNA". The stretch from base 229 to 384 matches the Rfam family "5.8S ribosomal RNA". The record is from RNAcentral. Lineage: Eukaryota; Viridiplantae; Streptophyta; Magnoliopsida; Fabales; Fabaceae.
GAUGGCCCGCAAUCAGUUUGACCGGCGAACAUGUUUUAUCCGACCCACGGGGGUUGGCAUGAUCUCAUCCUCCCCCUGCCGGGAGGAGGCCGUGCACGGCGCGGACUCCCCUUGGCAAACACAAACCCCGGCGCCACGCGCGCCAAGGAAUCCAAAACUGUCCAGUGCGGCCCCGGGGGAGUUGGAGACAACGCCUCGCGGGUCCCGUCACCACACACGAAAGAGAAUGACUCUCGGCAAUGGAUAUCUCGGCUCUUGCAUCGAUGAAGAACGUAGCGAAAUGCGAUACUUGGUGUGAAUUGCAGAAUCCCGUGAACCAUCGAGUCUUUGAACGCAAGUUGCGCCCGAAGCCAUUAGGCCGAGGGCACGCCUGCCUGGGUGUCACACAAUGUUACCCUCACGCAAAAAGGGCUACCGUUAGCCAGUGCGUGGUGUGUACGCUGGCCUCCCGCGAGCGGCGUCCCGCGGUUGGCUGAAAAUCGAGUCCGCGGCCGGGUGCGCCGUGAUAAAAUGGUGGACGGGCAAUGCCCGAGACCAAUCACGCGCGAUCCCGUCCGGUGUGACCCCUGGACCCCCGCGGCGUCUUCGGAUGC